This 1313-nucleotide ribosomal RNA is filed under the name Salmonella enterica. RNAcentral's name for it is "partial 23S ribosomal RNA". It matches the Rfam family "Bacterial large subunit ribosomal RNA", at positions 1 to 1252 of the family's 2925-position model. The record is from RNAcentral. Lineage: Bacteria; Pseudomonadati; Pseudomonadota; Gammaproteobacteria; Enterobacterales; Enterobacteriaceae.
GGUUAAGCGACUAAGCGUACACGGUGGAUGCCCUGGCAGUCAGAGGCGAUGAAGGGCGUGCUAAUCUGCGAUAAGCGCCGGUAAGGUGAUAUGAACCGUUAUAACCGGCGAUACCCGAAUGGGGAAACCCAGUGUGACUCGUCACACUAUCAUUAACUGAAUCCAUAGGUUAAUGAGGCGAACCGGGGGAACUGAAACAUCUAAGUACCCCGAGGAAAAGAAAUCAACCGAGAUUCCCCCAGUAGCGGCGAGCGAACGGGGAGGAGCCCAGAGCCUGAAUCAGCAUGUGUGUUAGUGGAAGCGUCUGGAAAGGCGCGCGAUACAGGGUGACAGCCCCGUACACAAAAGCGCAUGUGCUGUGAGCUCGAUGAGUAGGGCGGGACACGUGGUAUCCUGUCUGAAUAUGGGGGGACCAUCCUCCAAGGCUAAAUACUCCUGACUGACCGAUAGUGAACCAGUACCGUGAGGGAAAGGCGAAAAGAACCCCGGCGAGGGGAGUGAAAAAGAACCUGAAACCGUGUACGUACAAGCAGUGGGAGCCCCACCACUAAGCCAGUGGUGAACUCCACAUACGCAUCCUUUGCUGAGGAUACGGUUAACGGAGCGAAAGCGACGUUCAACCGCAAAAGAAGCAGAGGGGGCUUAGUGGUGGGGUGACUGCGUACCUUUUGUAUAAUGGGUCAGCGACUUAUAUUCUGUAGCAAGGUUAACCGCAUAGGGGAGCCGGAGGGAAACCGAGUCUUAACCGGGCGUUAAGUUGCAGGGUAUAGACCCGAAACCCGGUGAUCUAGCCAUGGGCAGGUUGAAGGUUGGGUAACACUAACUGGAGGACCGAACCGACUAAUGUUGAAAAAUUAGCGGAUGACCUGUGGCUGGGGGUGAAAGGCCAAUCAAACCGGGAGAUAGCUGGUUCUCCCCGAAAGCUAUUUAGGUAGCGCCUCGUGAAUUCAUCUCCGGGGGUAGAGCACUGUUUCGGCUAGGGGGCCAUCCCGGCUUACCAACCCGAUGCAAACUGCGAAUACCGGAGAAUGUUAUCACGGGAGACACACGGCGGGUGCUAACGUCCGUCGUGAAGAGGGAAACAACCCAGACCGCCAGCUAAGGUCCCAAAGUCAUGGUUAAGUGGGAAACGAUGUGGGAAGGCCCAGACAGCCAGGAUGUUGGCUUAGAAGCAGCCAUCAUUUAAAGAAAGCGUAAUAGCUCACUGGUCGAGUCGGCCUGCGCGGAAGAUGUAACGGGGCUAAACCAUGCACCGAAGCUGCGGCAGCGACGCUUAUGCGUUGUUGGGUAGGGGAGCGUUCUGUAAGCCUGUG